RNAcentral lists this ribosomal RNA (518 nucleotides) under uncultured Glomus. Its description in RNAcentral is "SSU rRNA". It matches the Rfam family "Eukaryotic small subunit ribosomal RNA", at positions 572 to 1092 of the family's 1831-position model. Lineage: Eukaryota; Fungi; Glomeromycota; Glomeromycetes; Glomerales; Glomeraceae. The record is from RNAcentral.
CGCCGCGGUAAUUCCAGCUCCAAUAGCGUAUAUUAAAGUUGUUGCAGUUAAAAAGCUCGUAGUUGAAUUUCGGGAUCAGUUGGUCGGUCGUGCCUCGGUACGUACUGGUCAAAUUGAUUCCUACCUUCUGACGAACCACGAUGUCAUUAAUUUGGUGUCGCGGGAAAUCAGGACUGUUACUUUGAAAAAAUUAGAGUGUUUAAAGCAGGCUCGCGCUUGAAUACAUUAGCAUGGAAUAAUGAAAUAGGACGUUUGAUUCUAUUUUGUUGGUUUCUAGGAUCGACGUAAUGAUUAAUAGGGAUAGUUGGGGGCAUUAGUAUUCAAUUGUCAGAGGUGAAAUUCUUGGAUUUAUUGAAGACUAACUACUGCGAAAGCAUUUGCCAAGGAUGUUUUCAUUAAUCAAGAACGAAAGUUAGGGGAUCGAAGACGAUCAGAUACCGUCGUAGUCUUAACCAUAAACUAUGCCGACUAGGGAUCGGAUGAUGUUAAUUUUUUAAUGACUCAUUCGGCGCCUUACG